GCAUAUGGAGAUUCCCAGGCUAUGGGUCAAAUCAGAGCUGCAGCUGCUGGCCUACAUAUGCCACAGUCACAGCAACACAAGAUCCGAGCCGCGUCUGUGACCUACACCAUAGCUCAUGGCAACGCCAGAUCCCUAAGCCACUGUUUGAGGCCAGGGAUCAAACCUGCAUCCUCAUGGAUACUAGUCAGAUUGGUUUCUGCUGAGCCACAACGGGAACUCCACCCUACUUUUUACUAUCUACACAACACCACUCAAAUCAGUCUGUUAAAUUAUUAAAUAAUUCUUAAAUAAUGCUACAAAAGCUUGUAGUGGUUUUAUUUAUGUUUUUGGCUGUGCCCAUGGCAUGUGGAAGCUCCAGGGCCAGGGAUCAAACCCACCCCAGAGCAGUGACAACACUGGAUCCUUAACCCACUGAACCACCAGAGAACUCCAAGUUUGUAGUAAUUUGACUUUUUCCUUUUUUUUGUCUUUUUACGGCCACACCCACAGCAUAUGGGACAUCCCAGGUUAGGGGUCAAAUCAGAGCUACAGGUGCCAGCCUACACCAGAGCCACAGCAAUUUGGGAUCCAAGCCGCAUCUGUGUCCUACACUACAGCUCACUGUAUCCUUAACCCACUGAGCGAGGCCACUGGAUCCUUAACCCACUAAGCGAGGCCAGGGAUCCAACCCACAUCCUCAUGGUUCCUAGUCAAAUUGGUUUCUGCUGAGCCACGACGGGAACUCCCUGCAAGCUUCUUAUCAAUGUGAAUAUGUGUGGUUUGCUUUCUUCAUAUCUUUCCUCCACUCUCAAGCACACAUUUUUGAUGAGUGAUCUUUUAUUAUUCUAAUAGCUGUAAGGAUGCAUAUGAAACAGCUCGUCUUUAGAAUCUUCGAGCCAAUGAGAGAAAGAGGGUUCCAUCCCCAAACUAUGGCAAUGAUCUUUGCACCACAGGGAAUGUGGUCUGUGCCUAGAACCACCCAGAGCUCUAGCCUCCAGAGGAGAAGGCAGCCCCCCGCCCUUGUGGGGAUGGUUAUGGCUUCCUGGAGGAGGCGGACAUUCAGAAGGGCCUCCGAAGAUGCGGAAGGCUUCCAUGAAGACAGAUUCGGUGGAGAACAGGAGUUCUGGGAAGGGGAGCCUCACAAGCACUUCCGGAAAGUCUCAGUUUAGCCGAAUGGAGGUACCGCUAGGGCAGAGAUGGAAGGAACAGAGCAGCUACAAAGGCUUUAAGUUUGUGUCGCUAUUUCCAGCACAACCCCUGGCACGUCCGUUAUCUCAUUCAACCUCCUUCAGCACCACAGGGAGGCAGGUCUUCAACAGAGGUGAGCCUUUGUGCUUCACUAGAGAAUAAGAGAAGCACUGGCGAGUUCCCGCUAGGAGAAGGGUGGUCAUGGUGCUGCCAGUACUUGGGAGGGGGUGGUGGGGACGGGGGUGGCUGUUGUGUUUGAUGUGCAUAAUGCCUACUUUCUUCUAGAAAUAGACCCUGCCCGACCUGUCAGGAUGAGAACUUCUGUCUGUGGGAUAUUUGGGUCAGGCCAGCAGGAGAACGGCUUUCUUUCCUCCCUGCUCUGAGGUCUAAGGUCUGGCCCAGAACUGUCACUUGCCUUGCUAUCUGGGGGGAUGGGAAGGCAGGAGAAGGGGCCACAUCCAAGUCCAGAGGCCCCCUGUGGCUCUGGGACUUGCCCCCAAAGACUCCCUGAAAACCCCCUUCCACUGAAGUCCCUUCUCUUUGGACUUCACCCUUUAUAACUGAGAGCGACCUCCCAAUACAGGUGGGCUGAGCAGGAGAGCUGGGGGCAUGGGGUCCAUUUAGGCGCUCUGCUCGUCUCAAAGUCUGUCUUAGCCUUUUCCUAAAAUACACCCUGUGCACCCUAAGUCUACAAAGUUCCCUUAAAAAGGGGAGGUCAACCAUUCAUUCAUUUAUUCAACAAAUAUGUACCGAGCACUUAGUGUUUGCCAGGCUGCACUCUGACUGUGAGGGGGAAGCUGGAAUGAGAGUCCAAACAGGUUUCUGUCUUUAUCGUGAACAUAGCCUCACGGGGCAGGCAGACUCUACAAAGUAAGCACAAUAAGAAAGCCUCAGCAUUCUGUCCUAGAAGGAAAACGUCACUUGCCCACAGUGACCCCAGGCUAUGCCCCAGGACCCUGCAGGGCCAGCACUGAGCGCAGGUCAAGCCUUUACUCGGAAGACGUCUGACAGAGAAGACAGGGUGGGGGAGAAAUCCACAGUAGUGGGGAUAGUGGAAGAUUCUUGCUGGUCCUCUUUCUUCAAAUGGAGGUCUCCUCAUCUUUAGUGAUUCGGCACAUAAACGGAGCUGCUCCCAACAUCCCUCUCGUGGACCUCCUGAAACCCUGUCACUGCAACCUUUCGGUUCCACUCUGCAAUUCUUUUGCCCUUGAGACCAUCAACGAACAGUGACCUCAAGUUCUGACAAUCAGAGAGACUGAACAACAAAAACUCGAAGGAAUGGGCCGGAAAUGAGCUUAGUGUGAAGCAAGAGGGGGAAGAGAUUAAAUUCACGUCCUAUCCAUUGCUAAUUGAUUUUUCUUGCGUGUUUUGACAAAUUGUUCCUCCCUAUACAUUUUGGACAUUUAUGAAGAAGUUAGAGGAAAUUCCUCACGCUCCGUAAGUUCUUGCUAUUUAUAUAUAUAUAUGUAUAUUCGGUAUCAUUUUCGUCACUUAAGAUCGGCAGCUGGUUGGGAUCAAUCCAGGGAUUUUGGCCUGGGUCACUGAGAUCCACGGGCCCCGAGUGAAACCAGGGUUGUAACGAUGCCUCACGGUCUUCUGCUAAAUGUCAAGACCAGAGGUGACAUCCUGCUGAAACCAGGAGAGGAGACUCGGUGAAAUGUUCCAGGUGACGUCGAAGGAAGAGAAAAUGCGGCUUAAACACAACCCCAAGUCAGGGCUUGAGACGGAGAGAUUUGCCCUGUUAGGGUAAUCAAUCCUACAGCCUAGAGGCACCCACAGCCCUACCAACACUCCCGAAAAUAUCCUAGGGCCCAAGACGCCCUGGGCUCACGGCGUCUGGCGGCUGCUUCCACACAGGCCCACCCUGGUCCGCUCCACUUCAACCCGGACACGGGACCCGGGCCCUCACUGGUUCUCCUUUACAAACGAGGUGUUUAAGAAGUUGGUAAACCUACCAAAGAACUGGGGGCCCGCAUGCAGCACAGCCUACGCGACCCACAGAUGGACCCGCUGUCACCAUCAGUCACUCCUGGGCUCUGGGUCCUUGUCCACCGCAGCGCUGGGGCCUCAGAGUCAGCGCCCCAACUCUGCUCCUUCUGCUGGCUCCCACAUCCUCUUCUCUCUACCCAGGGACUGCCCCUUUGGCUGGGGCAACAUAAACCCUUGCCCCUGAGGCCCCAGGGUCUCAACCCCUAUUAUUCGUGUGCAUCAAAGUAUUUUUCCAAAUCAAGACAGUUCC
RNAcentral lists this long non-coding RNA (3406 nucleotides) under Sus scrofa (pig). RNAcentral's name for it is "lncRNA (ENSSSCG00025019932.1)". Lineage: Eukaryota; Metazoa; Chordata; Mammalia; Artiodactyla; Suidae. The record is from RNAcentral.